Molecule: ribosomal RNA, 253 nt
Filed under: uncultured bacterium
Lineage: Bacteria
Description: partial 16S ribosomal RNA
Rfam family: Bacterial small subunit ribosomal RNA
Source: RNAcentral
UACGAAGGGGGCUAGCGUUGCUCGGAAUGACUGGGCGUAAAGGGCGCGUAGGCGGAUGGCACAGUCAGAUGUGAAAUUCCCGGGCUUAACCUGGGGGCUGCAUUUGAUACGUGUGAUCUGGAGUGAGGAAGAGGGUCGUGGAAUUCCCAGUGUAGAGGUGAAGUUCGUAGAUAUUGGGAAGAACACCGGUGGCGAAGGCGGCGACCUGGUCCUUUACUGACGCUGAGGCGCGAAAGCGUGGGGAGCAAACAGG